RNAcentral lists this ribosomal RNA (1059 nucleotides) under Halomonas sp. NB17. Its description in RNAcentral is "bacterial SSU rRNA". It matches the Rfam family "Bacterial small subunit ribosomal RNA", at positions 34 to 1052 of the family's 1533-position model. Lineage: Bacteria; Pseudomonadati; Pseudomonadota; Gammaproteobacteria; Oceanospirillales; Halomonadaceae. The record is from RNAcentral.
UGCCUGGCGGCAGGCCUACACAUGCAAGUCGAGCGGUAACAGGGGUAGCUUGCUACCCGCUGACGAGCGGCGGACGGGUGAGUAAUGCAUAGGAAUCUGCCCGGUAGUGGGGGAUAACCUGGGGAAACCCAGGCUAAUACCGCAUACGUCCUACGGGAGAAAGGGGGCUCCGGCUCCCGCUAUUGGAUGAGCCUAUGUCGGAUUAGCUAGUUGGUGAGGUAAUGGCUCACCAAGGCGACGAUCCGUAGCUGGUCUGAGAGGAUGAUCAGCCACAUCGGGACUGAGACACGGCCCGAACUCCUACGGGAGGCAGCAGUGGGGAAUAUUGGACAAUGGGCGAAAGCCUGAUCCAGCCAUGCCGCGUGUGUGAAGAAGGCCCUCGGGUUGUAAAGCACUUUCAGCGAGGAAGAACGCCUAGUGGUUAAUACCCAUUAGGAAAGACAUCACUCGCAGAAGAAGCACCGGCUAACUCCGUGCCAGCAGCCGCGGUAAUUACGGAGGGGUGCAAGCGUUAAUCGGAAUUACUGGGCGUAAAGCGCGCGGUAGGUGGCUUGAUAAAGCCGGGUUGUGAAAGCCCCGGGCUCAACCUGGGAAACGGCAUCCGGGAACUGUCAAGCUAGAGUGCAAGGAAGAAGGGAAAGGUAAGAAAUUCCCGGUGUAGCGGGUGAAAAUGGCGUAAGAGAGAAUCCGGGGAGGAAUACCCAGUGGCCGGAAGGCGGCCCUUCCUGGACUUGACCACUGACACACUGGAGGUGGCGAAGGCGGUGGGGUAGCAAAACAGGAUAAGAAUACCCCUGGUUAGUCCACCGCCGUAACGAUGUCGACCCAGCCCGUGGGUGCUAGCGCACUUUUUGGUGGCCGAAGGUAACCGCGAUAAAGUCGACCCGCCCUGGGGAGUUACGCGCCAGUUAAACUCAAUGAAUUGACGGGGCCGCCCAACCGUGUGAGACACACAUGGUUAAUUCCGAAGCCACCGGGAAGAACCUUACGUACCCUGAACUCCUGGCAACCUUGGCAGAAUACAGUUGGCUUCGAACGCGGAACGGGCUUCAUGCGUGC